CCUACGGGAGGCAGCAGGGAGGAAUAUUGGUCAAUGGACGCAAGUCUGAACCAGCCAUGCCGCGUGCAGGAAGAAGGCUCUAUGAGUGGUAAACUGCUGUUGUACGAGGGUAAACGCAGAUACGCGUAUCUGUCUGAAAGUAUCGUACGAAUAAGGAUCGGCUAACUCCGUGCCAGCAGCCGCGGUAAUACGGAGGAUUCAAGCGUUAUCCGGAUUUAUUGGGUUUAAAGGGUGCGUAGGCGGGCGGAUAAGUUAGAGGUGAAAUCCCGAGGCUCAACUUCGGAAUUGCCUCUGUUACUGUUCGGCUAGAGCGUAGUUGCGGUAGGCGGAAUGUAUGGUGUAGCGGUGAAAUGCUUAGAGAUCAUCCAGAACACCGAUUGCGAAGGCAGCUUACCAAGCUACUUCUGACGUUGAGGCACGAAAGCGUGGGGAGCAAACAGGAUUAGAUACCCUGGUAGUC
RNAcentral lists this ribosomal RNA (460 nucleotides) under uncultured bacterium. RNAcentral describes it as "partial 16S ribosomal RNA". It matches the Rfam family "Bacterial small subunit ribosomal RNA", at positions 338 to 795 of the family's 1533-position model. The record is from RNAcentral.